RNAcentral lists this unclassified non-coding RNA (3802 nucleotides) under Hermetia illucens (black soldier fly). RNAcentral's name for it is "serine/threonine-protein kinase/endoribonuclease IRE1, transcript variant X1". Lineage: Eukaryota; Metazoa; Arthropoda; Insecta; Diptera; Stratiomyidae. The record is from RNAcentral.
AUCUAAACAGCAAGUUCGUGAGCAAGAGAAAAAAAGUUGCAAAUGCGUCGGAAAAUAUUCGCAUAAAUUAUUUUAGCGAUAAAGUAAAAUGUAAAGAAGCCGGCCCAGCGCAGGUCGCAAGUAUUUUGCACUAAUUUAAAAUUGUUUUGUUGAUAUUUAUUCGUCCAAAUACUGCUCGUUGUUGUGGAACUUUUUGACCAGCACAAACAAUGCGGCAAUUGUUGCUCUUGUUGUGUGUUAACUUGCUUUUGGUCGCUGUUGCAUCAGCGGAAAAAGAGGAUUGCACGGAUUUGGCGCGGGACGAGGAGACCUUGCUCGUGUUCUCGACUUUAGGGGGCGGACUCACGGCGAUAGACCCGCUAACGAGUGAGAUUCGGUGGACAAUUGAUGACGAGCCAGCCAUUAAAUCAACGUCGCAAACUGAUUUUCCUGUUCCACAAUAUUUGCCCGAUCCAAGAGAUGGAAGCCUCUACCAACUAGGAGACAUGGGCGACUUGAAAAAGCUCCCGUAUACGAUUCCACAACUUGUCGCUAAUGCGCCAUGUCGUUCAUCUGAUGGAAUCCUCUAUUCUGGUAAGAAGAGCGACUCCUGGUUUCUUAUCGAUCCCAAAACGGGUCGUCGUGAAAAGCUCAUGGGAUUCGAAAACGUAGACGGGCAUAUAAAAUCUCAUGAGUCUAUUGGCUGGGCUACAUCCCGUUCAGUAUAUUUGGGUAGAACCCAGUAUACUGUUAUGAUGUUUGACAGCCUCUCGAAGGAUAAAAACACCAAACCCUGGAAUAUUACAUUUUUUGAUUAUUCAUCACAUUCGAUGGCUCCGGAAAUUUCUAGUGAUUAUGAAUAUCUGCAUUUAACGGCGAGCUCCAGUGGACUGACAGCAACUCUGGAUCGAAAGCAUGGAAAAUUCAUUUGGCAGAAAGAUUUAUCAAGUCCUGUGAUUGCAGCAUUCCUUCUGAGUAAGGAAGGGUUGCUUAGUGUGCCUUUUACCACAGUAUCAGAUGAGACUCUUCGAAACGUAGUUGAGGAUGCCAAAGAUGGGAACACGAAUGACAUCAAAUUAUUUCAAUCUUUGUACAUUGGAGAGCAUCCUUUCGGACUUUACGCCCUCCCAUCCUUAGUUGAUAAGAACACUGCCACAAUUUCGUCAGAUCCGCCCGUGAAACUUAUCGAAGGUCCACAUAAAACGCUUAAGCCAAGCGAUCAGAAUUUGGUUUAUUUAAAUGACCUACUAGAGAAGGAGAAAGAGAAGAACCGAAAUAUUAUUGUUCUCGGCCAUUAUCAGAUGCCCAAAACAAGCGAAGAUAUUAAAAUUUCGUUGAUGCCUUCAAGUACUCGUAAUGUAGAUAAUAGAGAGCUCGCGACUAUAACAAAUAUGGAACUGCUCAAAGCAACUGAUUUCAUUCUCGUCGACGGCGGCAAAACCAAUUCAAUUGGGGUUCAAACCGAUGAAAGUUAUUCGAACUCAGAACGACCAACAAACAAAUCGAACGACACCCACAACGAAAAGAUCUUUCUUAUGCGGAUAUACAUCAAGAAGAUUUUUACUGAUUCGAAGGCGUGGCUGACAGACAAACAAAGUGGCCUCCUACACCAGAUCGUUCUCGUCCUCAUCGUUACGGUCCUGACUAUGUUCUGGUAUAUGUGGAGCACUGUCCGCGAGCUGCGUCAUAGUCAACACGGGUCGCAAUCAAUGAAUCGAAGCUCCGGGAGCAGUAAUGUGAACUAUCAGGAUCUAAUUGACUUGGGCGAUGGUGAAGUUCAAGUUGGGAAAAUUUCAUUCAAUUGCAACGAAUUGCUCGGCAAAGGUUGCGAAGGCACUUUUGUUUUUAAAGGGACAUUUGAGAAACGCAAAGUUGCAGUGAAACGUUUGUUGCCGGAAUGUUUUACGUUUGCAGAUCGUGAAGUGACAUUGCUCCGGGAAAGUGAUGCACAUGAAAAUGUAGUGCGGUACUUUUGCACUGAACAAGAUAGACAAUUCCGAUAUAUUGCAGUGGAACUUUGCGCUGCAACGUUGCAGGAUUAUACGGAAGGAGCGAUAGCAGAACAACUGAGGCAACAGAUUAAUGUGAGAGAGGUGUUGAAACAGGCGACAAGCGGAUUAAAUCAUCUGCAUUCAUUGAAUAUAGUUCACAGAGAUAUCAAGCCACAAAACGUUUUACUUUCUUUACCGGAUGUGAAUAAUUCCGUUCGGGCUAUGAUAUCUGAUUUUGGCUUAUGUAAAAAGCUCAACUACGGCAAAACCAGUUUUUCAAGACGCUCUGGAAUUACAGGGACAGAAGGUUGGAUUGCUCCCGAAAUGGUCAAGGGGCAAAGAACUACAACGUCAGUCGAUAUAUUCUCCUUGGGCUGUGUGUUUUACUACGUACUCACUGACGGGCGUCAUCCAUUUGGAGAUAACCUUAAACGCCAAGCGAAUAUUCUGUCGGGAGAGUAUGAUCUCGAUUAUCUCAUGGCAGAUGAUGUACAAAGUGAAAAUGUGUUAGCUCAGGAGUUAAUUGCAGAUAUGAUAAACCAUGAUUCUCUGAAGCGACCUCCGACUCGUGCGAUUUUGCAGCAUCCAUUUUUCUGGAAUCAAAAGAAAAUCUUAGCAUUUCUGCAAGAUGUCAGCGAUCGCGUGGAAAAACUGACAUUCAGUACUGAUCCGCUGAAAACAUUGGAGAAAAAUGGGCGAGAGAUUGUUCGAAGAAGUUGGCAUUUGCAUUUGGAUACAGAAAUCACAGCAGAUCUGCGGAAAUAUCGUGGCUACAUGGAGGAGAGUGUGCGAGAUUUGCUGCGUGCAGUAAGAAAUAAGAGACAUCAUUAUCAUGAGUUGACUGAAGACGUUCAAAAAAUUCUGGGGGCAAUUCCUCAUGAAUUCACCAACUACUGGAUUCAACGAUUUCCCCAUUUACUAUCCCACACUUAUCAUUCCCUGAGCAUUUGCUCACACGAGAAUCCUUUCAGGUCGUAUUACGACCCACAUUACAAGUUCACACGGCCUGAAUAUUUUUAUAGGAAAACCGACGACGUUGAAUUUGUCGAUAGUCCUAAAAUAAUUGCCAAAAAUGCGCCACCGGGGGCAAACAGUGGAAACGCAUCGGCCGGCAAUAGCCCUGCCAAAAAGCAGCAAGACAAUACCCCAAAAGAUAAUAAAGUGCAAAAACAGAACCGCAAGGGGGUUUACAAUUUUCGAAGAAAUCAAAAUGACAACUUUGCGAAUUUUGAUCCACCGAAUCGGAUGGGAAUGCAACCGGACGAUUCUGGUUAUGGGAACUUCAACAGAUUCCGAAAUCGCAGUAGUAACUUUCGACCAAGGCCUACCCAAACAAUUGAGAAUUUUGUUUGGCGGAUACCCAAAUCUGACGAUGCUCAAAAUUGAACACGAACUUUUUUAGUAUUUUAAAGAAAGCUUGGAGAAAUCUAAACGUUCAACAUGAUUUUAUGAGAAAUAUACAACAAAAGCAUUCAGGGACGGCUCGUUUUAAAUAUAAAAUCACAUUUUGUGAUAUUUAAACUUUUAGAAGCGGCAGCGCGAGCGAUAGCAAAGAUCGACCAAUAUUGAGGCAUCCUCACACCCGAAUUGAAACGAAAAUCACGAAAUAAGAAAUGUUCCAAUUAUGGAGUCAUAAAGUAUAGAACUUGCUGUGUAACACAUAUUUUGUAUGUGUUGUCUUUUGUGCGUCUUUGAUAUCGUUUUUGCACUUUUUAUCUGUGAUAACAAAACUUUUUAACUUAAUAAAUUAAAAUUUAUUGUAAAGUUUAUAUCGUUUUAGAGAAAUGAAUGAAAAAUAAAUAAUAUUUAAUUUACAAAUAAUGAAUCUUGUU